AUAAGAAGGUAAGAAGGCUGCAGCUUCCACCGGGCCUCUUGGGCUGUGUACUCUUGACACUCUUGCUCUGAGAACUAAGCAGGCAUAUUUCAUAUCAAAAUAGUAAAGAACUUCCUUUCCAAAGGCAGGACUUGCUUCUGUGAGGUACUGAGCCACCCGUCCCUGGAGGAAAGCAAGAACAGAGCAGAUCAGAGCCCAGGCAGACAUCUUGGAUGAUGGGGUACAUCUUGCCAUCCAGAGGCAAUGCUGGAGCGGGCAGUUGUCUGCGGGGAGGCCCUGGCUCACUCUGGGCCAAAUAACAGGACUGAUUGCAGCCUGCGAUGAAACAUCCUGUUUCUCCCAACCAGAAACAGGUAGAGGAGCUGCUUUAGGAUGGAAGAUGAGGCUUGCUUUUUCUUUCUCCUAGAAGUCAGCAUUUUACAUGAUUCUGGGAGGGAAGAAAGGAGACAGGAACCAAGGAGCCUGAGUGGGGAUUUGCCCACCACUGGGCAGCCAGGCUCCCGUCAGGAAGGCUUUUCAGAGGGAGUGUUGGAAGGAGUCGUCGAGGAGUCUUCCUCACCCAGGAAGUCUUCCUCACCGGGUGAGCCCCAACCUGCUGGACCUGCUCAGAAUUUGCCCAACAGGGGAUCCUGGUUGACUGAGGUCUGCUAAUUCCAACUGGCCUACGCUAAAUUCUCCCAGAAUGUCUUCAUCAUCAAUGAAUCGCUUUCCACUGACACGACGCCUGGAAGAACAUAAACACUGUGAGGAUAAAUGCCAAUGAAAUAAUAAUAAAAUAAACUUUCUUUGGUGGCCAGAGGG
Molecule: long non-coding RNA, 801 nt
Filed under: Homo sapiens (human)
Lineage: Eukaryota; Metazoa; Chordata; Mammalia; Primates; Hominidae
Description: non-protein coding LINC02369:22
Source: RNAcentral